AAUGUUACUGCUGAAAACCUCAGGAAUGUGUCAGAUUAUCUCGCUGCAGCUAAGAGUAUUUCUGUGGACAACGUGCUUCUGCCAGGCAAUGUCCGAAACAGCAUUGGUGACAUUGAAACAAAGAUCAACUCCUCUAGCAGUACUCUUUCCAGUCGUACACAAAAAAUUCUAAGGAUAUACAAGAUGGUUUAGAUAGCAUGAGACUGGCUCUUAUUAUCCUUGCUGCUGUAAUGCUUACUUUGGCAUUUCUUGGAUUUUUAUUCUCCAUUGUCGGAAUGCAGUGUCUUGUAUACUUCCUGGUGAUUGUUGGGUGGAUUCUUGUCGCGGGCACAUUUAUUUUGUGUGGAGUGUUUCUUCUUGUCCACAAUGUGGUUGCAGAUACAUGUGUUGCAAUGGAUGAGUGGGUCCUGAACCCCACUGCUAAAACAGCAAUGGAUGAUAUAAUUCCUUGUGUGGACAAUGCAACUGCUCAGGCAACCUUGCAACGGCAAACCAAGGAAGUCACUUACCAACUUGUCAAUGUGGUUGAUGGCAUCAUCAAAAAUGUCUCCAACAGAAAUUUCCCACCACUGGUACCUUUGUAUUACAACCAAUCUGGUCCAUUGAUGCCU
Molecule: unclassified non-coding RNA, 611 nt
Filed under: Hevea brasiliensis (rubber tree)
Lineage: Eukaryota; Viridiplantae; Streptophyta; Magnoliopsida; Malpighiales; Euphorbiaceae
Source: RNAcentral